This 478-nucleotide ribosomal RNA is filed under the name uncultured bacterium. RNAcentral's name for it is "partial 16S ribosomal RNA". It matches the Rfam family "Bacterial small subunit ribosomal RNA", at positions 28 to 507 of the family's 1533-position model. The record is from RNAcentral.
GAUGAACGCUGGCGGCGUGCUUAACACAUGCAAGUCGAACGAGAAGUGAAGACGGAAACCUUCGGGCGGAAGGCUUUAUUUCGAGUGGCGGACGGGUGAGUAACGCGUGGGUAACCUGCCUCAUACAGGGGGAUAACAGUUGGAAACGACUGUUAAUACCGCAUAAGACCACAGCACCGCAUGGUGCGGGGGUAAAAACUCCGGUGGUAUGAGAUGGACCCGCGUUCGAUUAGCCAGUUGGCGGGGUAACGGCCCACCAAAGCGACGAUCGAUAGCCGAUCUGAGAGGCUGACCGGCCACAAUGGGACUGAGACACGGCCCAAACUCCUACGGGAGGCAGCAGUAGAGAAUAUUGCACAAUGGGGGAAACCCUGAUGCAGCGACGCCGCGUGAGUGAGGAAGUGUUUCGGUAUGUAAAGCUCUAUCAGCAGGGAAGAAAAUGACGGUACCUGAGUAAGAAGCCCCGGCUAACUACGUG